UCCUCGAUAGCUCAAUGGUAGAGCACUCGGCUGUUAACCGCAGUGUCGUUGGUUCGAGUCCAACAGGGGGAG
RNAcentral lists this transfer RNA (72 nucleotides) under Candidatus Eisenbergiella intestinipullorum. RNAcentral's name for it is "tRNA-Asn". It matches the Rfam family "tRNA". From Rfam's summary of the family: Transfer RNA (tRNA) molecules are approximately 80 nucleotides in length. Their secondary structure includes four short double-helical elements and three loops (D, anti-codon, and T loops). The record is from RNAcentral. Lineage: Bacteria; Bacillati; Bacillota; Clostridia; Lachnospirales; Lachnospiraceae.